RNAcentral lists this transfer RNA (72 nucleotides) under Kribbella sp. VKM Ac-2500. It matches the Rfam family "tRNA". From Rfam's summary of the family: Transfer RNA (tRNA) molecules are approximately 80 nucleotides in length. Their secondary structure includes four short double-helical elements and three loops (D, anti-codon, and T loops). Further hydrogen bonds mediate the characteristic L-shaped molecular structure. tRNAs have two regions of fundamental functional importance: the anti-codon, which is responsible for specific mRNA codon recognition, and the 3' end, to which the tRNAs corresponding amino acid is attached (by aminoacyl-tRNA synthetases). tRNAs cope with the degeneracy of the genetic code in two manners: having more than one tRNA (with a specific anti-codon) for a particular amino acid; and 'wobble' base-pairing, i.e. permitting non-standard base-pairing at the 3rd anti-codon position. The record is from Rfam by way of RNAcentral. RNAcentral also lists the same sequence under 2 other names. Lineage: Bacteria; Bacillati; Actinomycetota; Actinomycetes; Propionibacteriales; Kribbellaceae.
GCCCCGUUGGUCUAGUGGGAGGACGUCCGGCUCUCAUCCGGAAGGUCGCCGGUUCGAGUCCGGCACGGGGUA